Molecule: ribosomal RNA, 422 nt
Filed under: uncultured bacterium
Lineage: Bacteria
Description: partial 16S ribosomal RNA
Rfam family: Bacterial small subunit ribosomal RNA
Source: RNAcentral
GGAUCUUCCGCAAUGGACGAAAGUCUGACGGAGCAACGCCGCGUGAGUGAUGAAGGUUUUCGGAUCGUAAAGCUCUGUUGCCAGGGAAGAACGCGUAGGAGAGUAACUACUCUCAAGGUGACGUUACCUGAGAAGAAAGCCACGGCUAACUACGUGCCAGCAGCCGAGGUAAUACGUAGGGGGCCAGCGUUGUCCGGAAUUAUUGGGCGUAAAUCUCGGCAAGGCGGUUCAUUAAGGCUGGUGUUUAAAGCGAGGGCUCAACCCUGGUUCGCACUGGAAACUGUUGAACUUGAGUGCAGAAGAGGAAAGUGGAAUUCCACGUGUAGCGGUGAAAUGCGUAGAGAUGUGGAGGAACACCAGUGGCGAAGGCGACUUUCUGGGCUGUAACUGACGCUGAGGCGCGAAAGCGUGGGGAGCAAACA